Oncorhynchus tshawytscha (Chinook salmon) is the source of this 6646-nucleotide long non-coding RNA. NCBI's taxonomy places the organism in Eukaryota, Metazoa, Chordata, Actinopteri, Salmoniformes, Salmonidae. The record is from Ensembl.
GAUUGAGUGUAGUCUGGCCCAGGAGUGUGAAGGUGAACGGAAAGGCUCUGGAGCAACGAACCGCCCUUGCUGUCUCUGUCUGGCCGGUUCCCCUCUUUCCACUGGGAUUCUCUGCCUCUAACCCUAUUACAGGGGCUGAGUCACUGGCUUACUGGUGCUCUUUCAUGUCGUCCUUAGGAGGGGUGCAUCACUUGAGUGGGUUGAGUCACGGAUGUGAUCUUCCUGUCUGGGUUGGCGCCCCCCCUUGGGUUGUGCCGUGGCAGAGAUCUUUGUGGGCUAUACUCGGCCUUGUCUCAGGAUGGUAAGUUGGUGGUUGAAGAUAUCCCUCUAGUGGUGUGGGGGCUGUGCUUUGGCGAAGUGGGUGGGGUUAUAUCUUGCCUGUUUGGCCCUGUCCGGGGGUAUCAUCGGAUGGGGCCACAGCACAGUGUCUCCUGACCCCUCCUGUCUCAGCCUCCAGUAUUUAUGCUGCAGUAGUUUAUGUGUCGGGGGGCUAGGGUCAGUUUGUUAAAUCUGGAGUACUUCUCCUGUCUUAUCCGGUGUCCUGUGUGAAUUUAAGUAUGCUCUCUCUAAUUCUCUCUUUCUCUUUGUCUCUCUGAGGACCUGAGCCCUAGGACCAUACCUGGCAUAAUGACUCCUUGCUGUCCCCAGUCCACCUGGCCGUGCUGCUGCUCCAGUUUCAACUGUUCUGCCUGUGAUUAUUAUUAUUUGACCAUGCUGGUCAUUUAUAAACAUUUGAACAUCUUGACCAUGUUCUGUUAUAAUCUCCACCCGGCACAGCCAGAAGAGGACUGGCCACCCCUCAUAGCCUGGUUCCUCUCUAGGUUUCUUCCUAGGUUUUGGCCUUUCUAGGGAGAUUUUCCUUGCCACCGUGCUUCUACACCUGCAUUGCUUGCUGUUUGGGGUUUUAGGCUGGGUUUCUGUACAGCACUUUGAGAUAUCAGCUGAUGUACGAAGGGCUAUAUAAAUAAAUUUGAUUUGAUUUGUUGCUGCAACCAUCUGUCUUAUGUAACCAUACCAAAUUUAACAUAUCAUACUAAAUGGAGUGUCUCGGAUUUACUUACAGAAUAAUAUGAAAUGCUCUGAGACCAGGCUGCAACUGUUUCCCGUAUGUAUCAAGAAUGGUACACCAGUCAACGGACAUGCAGCCAACUUGACACAACUGUGGGAAGAGUGUGGAGUCGACAUGGGCCAGCAUCCCUGUGGAACGCUUUUGACACAUUGUGGAGUCCAAACCCUGAAGAAUUACGGAUGUUCUGAGGGCAAAAGGGGAAGCAACUCAAUAUUGGGAAGGCGUUCCUAAUGUUUCGUAUAUUCAGUGUACGUUCACAAUACAAUCCUUUGACUUGAAUUCAACAGUUUGAAUACAACAGUGUCAGCAUUAUUCUAUUAUUACGCACUUUGCCCAAAUUAUUUCGAGGUCUCUAAAGUGUCCAUACCCCAUUGAUUGGGGUACAUCUUACCUAAACCUGUCCACAUUGAUACCAUGCGCAAAUAGUUUCUCUCCAACGAAACCGAAAGAAAGUGAAAAUGUGAUUGAUCGCGGAAGUUUUUCUCGACUUGAUGGGACUGGAGUUUGGUGAAAUCCUAAGCCCACCGCCAGCAACCCAUGACGGAGAGGGAAACUAAAGACGACAACGGGGAUUCAGCAAUGUUGGUAACCACGCAUCUUCGGGAAAACCACUGCACAUCCUGGGUCCGCUUGCCAACGCUUAGACUUUUUUCAUUAAACCAUAUUUAAACAACCACAUAGGCGACUUACCGUUUGGAUACAAUGUACGCAGCCCUACCAUGAAUAACUCCCACCGCUCUUGCUGGCCCCCGAGGACAGGGAUUUGCUCGUCUGAAGAACAUUUAUAGAAAAUGAUAAAUGUGUGUGAACGGGCCUGUGCUCCGUAGCGUCUUGGUGUUUCUGCUGUUGGGUGUCUCCUACACUAAGCACAGGUGCAACUAUUCGGAGAUACUCGGCUCAUACAGAGAACUCAUCUUCGUUGAACUUCAGAAUUUGAAUCUGACUGGCAAUUUUGACACGUCCAAAGAGAGGGACCGUUGUCCCUCAGGAAAGGUGCAGCACGUUUUGCGCUCCAUCCAUGGUAUGACUCAGCAGUUCCUGUGCCAGAGCCGCAGGCAGGGCAUUAGACAACAGGGGGACAUGGAGAAACCAGUGGAGAUGAUGGAACAGCUGAUCAGACAGAACUGCAAACACACUAACCUGUGUUUUGCUUUCUUUUAGGUGAGAGGACAGAAGAGAGCCGCCCUGUGUGUGACUUCCCAGAGAACGAAGGGAAAGAAGAAGAAGAGGAUAAGGGCACUGAUAAACUGUUGGCAGAAGCUGCAGAGUGUGUACUUGCCCACAAAAUGAAUGGGAAAUACUAUGUUUUUCUUUGUUUUGGUGUUUUGGCAACCACACUGUGAACAGUUGAACACAUGCACAGAUAUUGCAGAAAUGCUGCAUCUCGCUCAUCUCAAUAUCUCCGGUGCUGCUCGAGGCGAUGACAUUCUACCUUUAAUAAUGGUUGUUAGAGGAUGGUAUACAAUGCAAUUCAAAUAUUUACUUGUAAUACUUUGUGCACACACAUAAAAAAUAUAUUAUCUCAUAAUCCAGAGAUUGCGAUUCCUUUUCUUAAACAUAUAUUUGGUAUUUGGCGUCAGCUAGUCUUACUGGGGUUCGACACAUAAUGAAAAAGACAUAACAGAAAAAAACACUAACAUGUAGUGCAUCUAUCAGUUAGACAUACAGUUGAAUUCGAACGUUUACAGACACUUAGGUUGGAGUCAUUAAAAUCCGCUUUUCAACCACUCCACACAUUUCUUGUUAACAAACUAUAGUUUUGGUAAGACGGUUAGGACAUCUACUUUGGCUUUAGAAGCUUCUGAUAGGCUAAUCGAUAUCAUUUGAGUCAAUUGGAGGUGUACCUGUGGAUGUAUUUCAAGGCCUACCUUCAAACUGCCUGAUUCUUUGAAUUUUCCCAUGAUGUCAAGCGAAGAUCAAAUCAAAGUGUGUUUGUCACGUGCGCCGAAUAUAACAGUGAAAUGCUGACUUACAGGCUCUAACCAAUAGUGCAAACAUGGUAUUAGGUGAACAAUAGGUAGGUAAAGAAAUAAAACAACAGUUAAAAGACAGGAUAUAGAAGUAGCGAGGCAACAUACAGACACCGGUUAGUCAGGCUGAUUGAGGUAGUCUGUACAUGUAGAUAUGGUUAAAGUGACUAUGCAUAUAUGAUGAACAGAGAGUAGCAGUAGCAUAAAAGAGGGGUUGGCGUGUGAUGGGUGGGACACAAUGCAGAAAGCCUGGUUAGCCAAUGUGUGGGAGCACUGGAUGUUCGGCCCAAUUGAGGUAGUAUGUGCAUGAAUGUAUAGUUAAAGUGAGUAUGCAGAUAUGAUAAACAGAGAGUAGCAGCAGUGUAAAAAGAGGGGUUGGGGGGGAGCACACAAUGCAAAAAGUCCGGGUGGCCAUUUUAUUACCUGUUCAGGUGUCUUAUGGCUUGGGGGUAAAAACUGUUGAGAAGCCUUUUUGUCCUAGACUUGGCACUACGGUACCGCUUGCCAUGCAAUAGUAGAGAGAACAGUCUAUGACUGGGGUGGCUGGGGUCUUUGACAAUAUUUAGGGCCUUCCUCUGACACCGCCUGGUGUAGAGAUCCUGGAUGGCAGGCAGCUUAGCCCCAGUGAUGGACCUGGCCUGUCUUGGUGUGUUUGGACCAUUCUAGUUUGUUGUUGAUGUGGACACCAAGGAUCUUGAAUCUCUCAAACUGCUCCACUACAGCCCCGUCGAUGAGAAUGGGGGCGUGCUCGGUCUUCCUUUUCCUGUAGUCCACAAUAAUCUCCUUAGUCUUGGUUACGUUGAGGGAUAGGUUGUUAUUCAGGUCUCUGACUUCCUCCCUAUAGGCUGUCUCAUCGUUGUCGGUGAUCAGGCCUUCCGCUGUUGUGUCGUCUGCAAACUUAAUGAUGAUGUUGGAGUCAUGCCUGGCCAUGCAGUCGUGGGUGAACAGGGAGUACAGGAGGGGACUGAGCAUGCACCCCUGGGGAGCUCCCUUGCUGAGGGUCAGCGUGGCAGAUGUGUUGAUACCUACCCUCAACCCCUGGGGCGGCCCGUCAGGAAGUCCAGGAUCCAGUUGCAGAGAGAGGUGUUUAGUCCCAGGAUCCUUAGCUUAUAGAUGAGCUUUGACGGCACUAUGGUGUUGAACGCUGAGCUGUAGUCAACGAAUAGCAUUCUCACAUAUGUGUUCCUUUUAUCCAGGUGGGAAAGAGCAGUGUGGAGUGCAAUAGAGAUUGCAUCAUCUGUGGAUCUGUUUGUGCGGUAUGCAAAUUGGAGUGGGUCUAGGGUUUCUGUGAUAAUGAUGUUGAUGUGAGCCAUUACUAGCCUUUCAAAGCACUUCAUGGCUACGGACGUGAGUGCUACGGGUCUGUAGUCAUUUAGGCAGGUUGCCUUUGUGUUCUUGGGCACGGGGACUAUGGUUGUCUGCUUGAAAUAUGUUGGUAUUACAGACUCAAUCAGGGACAUGUUGAAAAUGUCAUUGAAGACACUUGCCAGUUGGUCAGCACAUGCCCGGAGCACACGUCCUGGUAAUCCGUCUGGCCCCGCAUCCUUGUGUAUGUUGACCUGUUUAAAGGUCUUACUCACGUCGGCUACAGAGAGCGUGAUCACACAGUCGUCCGGAACAGCUGAUGCUCUCAUGCAUGCCUCAGUGUUGCUUGCCUCGAAGCGAGGCUAGAAGUGAUUUAGCUUGCGUGGUAGGCUCGUGUCACUGGGCAGCUCGUGGCUGUGCUUCCCUUUGUAGUCUGUAAUAGUUUGCAAGCCCUGCCACAUAAGACGUGCAUCGGAGCCUGUGUAGUAUGAUUCAAUCUUAGCCCUGUAUUGACUCUUUGCAUGUUUCAUGGUUCGUCGCAGGGCAUAGCAGGAUUUCUUGUAAGCUUCCGGGUUAGAGUCGCUCACCUUGAAAGCGGCAGCUCUACCCUUUAGCUCAGUGCGAAUGUUGCCUGUAAUCCAUGGCUUCUGGUUGGUGUAUGUACGUAUAGUCACUGUGGGGACAACGUCCUUGAUGCACUUAUUGAUAAAGCCAAUGACUGAUGUGGUGUACUCCUCAAUGUCAUCGGAAGAAUCCCGGAACAUGUUCCAUUCUGUGAUAGCAAAGCAGUCCUGUAGUAUAGACCGAGUCACUGGUGCUUUCUGCUUUAAUUAAGCAGUUGUGGUCGGAUUUACCAAAUGGAGGGCGAGGGAGAGCUUUGUACGUGUUUCUGUGUGUGGAGUACAGGUGAUCUAGAAUGUUUUUUUUCUCUGGUUGCACAUUUAACAUGUUGAUAAAAAUUUGGUAGAACUGAUUUAAGUUUCCCUGCAUUAACGUCUCCGGCCACUAGGAGCGUUGCCUCUGGGUGAGUGGUUUCCUGUUUGCUUAUUUCCUUAUACAGCUGACUGAGUGCGGUCUUAGUGCCAGCAUCUGUCUGUUGUGGAAAAUAAACAGCCACAAAAAGUAUACUGUAGCUGAGAACUCUCUAGGCAAGUAGUGUGGCCUGCAAUUUAUCACAAUAUACUCUUCUUCAGGCAAGCAAAAUCAAGAGACUUCCUUAGAUUUAGUGCACCAGCUGUUGUUUACAAAUAUGCACAGACCCCCCCCCCAUCCCUCGUCUUACCGGAGUGUGGUGUUCUAUCUUGCCGCUGCAGCGUAUAUCCCGCUAGCUGAAUAUCCAUGUCGUCAUUCAGCCAUUAUUCCAUGAAACAUAGGAUAUUACAGUUUUUGAUGUCCCUUUGGUAGGAUAUUCGUGAUCGUACCUCGUCUAAUUUAUUCUCCAAUGAUUGCACGUUGGCGAGUAGUAUUGACGGUAAUGACAGCUUUCCCAGUCACCUUCUCCGGGUCCUGACCAGGCAUCCGGCUCUUUGUCCUCCGUACCUGUGUCGCUUCCUCUUGCAAAUAAUGGGGAUGUCGGCCCUGCUGGGUGUUUGGAGAAUGUCUUGUACGUCUUGUUUGUUGAAGAAAAAAUCUUUGUCUAAUCCGAGGUGAGUGAUCGCUGUCCUGAGUGAUCGCUGCUCUUUUUUUGACGUAAGAUAAGGUUGCAGAAACAUUAUGUACAAAAUAAGUUAGAAAUAACGCGAAGAAAAACACAUAGAAUGCCCGUAAAACUGCUGCCAUUUCUUCUGGCGACAUUUUAACAGAACUUCCAACUUCAACUGUCCAUCCAGUUUGAUUUCUAAUUGGGUGUAGGCAAAACCUUAAUUAAGCAAAUAGGUAAACUGUGAUAUGACUAAAGAGUUUGUAAGGGUGAUUUUUCCACAAAUAGACAGGUAUUUUCCUUUUCAUGGUAGCAAGAUUGCAUCUAUUUUGUUAACUUUCUAUAAAAAUAUAUUAGAGUGAGAUCAUUUAUUUAUUUCGGGAUAUGUACACCGAGUAUGUCCACAUCUCUGUCAGACCAUUUUAUUGGUAAACUACAUGGUAAUGUAAGAGAUGUAUUUUCUUGUGAUCCAAUACAGUACACUUAUCAUAAUUAGAUUUUAAUCCAGAGGUUAGAAAAAGUAUCUUGAUCCUCUAAGAGGCCGUGGAGAGAUUCUAAUUGUGGAUUUAAAAGAAAACAUGAAUCAUCAGUGUACAACGACACCUUUGUUUUUAAGCCCUGGAUUUCUAAUCCCAUAAAAUUAUUGUUGGAUUUAAUUUUAAC